GACGAACGCUGGCGGCGUGCUUAACACAUGCAAGUCGAACGGAAAGGCCCUGCUUUUGUGGGGUGCUCGAGUGGCGAACGGGUGAGUAACACGUGAGUAACCUGCCCUUGACUUUGGGAUAACUUCAGGAAACUGGGGCUAAUACCGGAUAGGAGCUCCUGCUGCAUGGUGGGGGUUGGAAAGUUUCGGCGGUUGGGGAUGGACUCGCGGCUUAUCAGCUUGUUGGUGGGGUAGUGGCUUACCAAGGCUUUGACGGGUAGCCGGCCUGAGAGGGUGACCGGCCACAUUGGGACUGAGAUGCGGCCCAGACUCCUACGGGAGGCAGCAGUGGGGAAUAUUGCACAAUGGGCGGAAGCCUGAUGCAGCAACGCCGCGUGCGGGAUGACGUCCUUCGGGUUGUAAACCGCUUUCGCCUGUGACGAAGCGUUAGUGACGGUAAUGGGUAAAGAAGCACCGGCUAACUACGUG
This 468-nucleotide ribosomal RNA is filed under the name uncultured bacterium. Its description in RNAcentral is "partial 16S ribosomal RNA". It matches the Rfam family "Bacterial small subunit ribosomal RNA", at positions 28 to 507 of the family's 1533-position model. The record is from RNAcentral.